RNAcentral lists this ribosomal RNA (422 nucleotides) under uncultured bacterium. RNAcentral's name for it is "bacterial SSU rRNA". It matches the Rfam family "Bacterial small subunit ribosomal RNA", at positions 30 to 447 of the family's 1533-position model. The record is from RNAcentral.
AUUGAACGCUGGCGGAAUGCUUUACACAUGCAAGUCGAACGGCAGCACGGGAGCUUGCUCCUGGUGGCGAGUGGCGAACGGGUGAGUAACAUAUCGGAACGUACCCAGUCGUGGGGGAUAACUAUCCGAAAGGAUAGCUAAUACCGCAUACGUCCUGAGGGAGAAAGCGGGGGAUCGCAAGACCUCGCGCGAUUGGAGCGGCCGAUAUCGGAUUAGCUAGUUGGUGGGGUAAAGGCUCACCAAGGCGACGAUCCGUAGCGGGUCUGAGAGGACGACCCGCCACACUGGAACUGAGACACGGUCCAGACUCCUACGGGAGGCAGCAGUGGGGGAAUUUUGGACAAUGGGGGCAACCCUGAUCCAGCCAUUCCGCGUGAGUGAAGAAGGCCUUCGGGUUGUUAAAGGCUCUUUCAGCAGGAACG